Diprion similis is the source of this 403-nucleotide long non-coding RNA. RefSeq lists it as uncharacterized. The transcript is spliced from 4 exons. NCBI's taxonomy places the organism in Eukaryota, Metazoa, Arthropoda, Insecta, Hymenoptera, Diprionidae. The record is from RefSeq and is a predicted model, not a curated record.
UGCCUUUGCAUCUAGAAUCGGUUCGCUCUCGGCAAAUUGCAGUGCGAAGUCCUUGGUUGAUACCUAAUUGAGCGGAUCCAAAUUAGGCACUUUUUCACUAGUUCGAUUCUUCGUCGUUGUCCGCGGUCUCUCGAAUCAAUCAGUGGACCAGUUGUAGCUUCUAUCGUACCGACCUGCAUAAGAGAUUUCUGGCUAAAAAAGAACCACAGUCGUGACUAUGUUUUUAGUCCGCAGAUACUUUAAAUCAAUUUAGUUGGACGGAGUUUUCCUUUUAAAUACAUACAAUACCGUCAGCUUGUUAAUUUCAACUGUAUUAUAAUUGCGUCAAAGUUGAGCGUAGAUUCGAUUACCGUUUCUCUUUCAUUUUGAUCAUGCGUCGAUUGAUUAUUCGUAUCUAUCGUGU